UGAGAUCGGAUGUAACAGUGCGUAG
Molecule: non-coding RNA, 25 nt
Filed under: Mus musculus (house mouse)
Lineage: Eukaryota; Metazoa; Chordata; Mammalia; Rodentia; Muridae
Source: RNAcentral